Molecule: small RNA, 283 nt
Filed under: Calidris pugnax (ruff)
Lineage: Eukaryota; Metazoa; Chordata; Aves; Charadriiformes; Scolopacidae
Description: 7SK RNA (ENSCPUG00000016897.1)
Source: RNAcentral
AAAUUUGGAGCAGCAGAGUGAAAGUCUGUCUCCUCAUUGAUCACUGGAGUGGACUUGGCUGAUUUGGCUGGCUCGGUGACUUUUUCAUCUAUCCUCACAUCUUUCUGCAAAGCUCAAAAAGCUUCAUGCCGAGACAAGGAGUAUCAUGCUCUGUCUAUUUAGAGAGCUCUCAAGUGUGUUUGGGUGGGCUUGGGCUAGACAUCCCUGGAGAGAACCCAACGGAGUAGUCUCAUUCCAUUUUCUCAACCGUCUGUGAUACAGCUGUUUGCUAUCAUUUCUUGUC